Molecule: long non-coding RNA, 376 nt
Filed under: Nicotiana benthamiana
Lineage: Eukaryota; Viridiplantae; Streptophyta; Magnoliopsida; Solanales; Solanaceae
Description: long non-coding RNA (NBEN_LNC016793)
Source: RNAcentral
CUCGCCGACCACCAACAAUCUCCAACCGCUCGCAGCUCCUCAUCGGGGCAUCGGAGCCCCUCCUCCGAACAUGCCCGAACCACCUCAGCCUCACUUCCCGCAUCUUUUCGUCCACCGGGGCCACCCCUACCUUCUGACGAAUAACUUCAUUCUUGANNNNNNNNCUUAUCCAGCCUGGUGUGCCCACACAUCCACCUAAGCAUCCUCAUCUCCGCAACCUUCAUUCUCUGAACAUGCGAGUUUUUCACGGGCCAGCACUCCCCCCAUACAACAUUGCAGGUCUAACCACGGCUCUGUAGAAUUUUCCCUUUAGUUUUUGCGGGAUUUUCUUGUCACACAGGACCCCUGAAGCAAGCCUCCACUUUGACCACCCCGC